RNAcentral lists this ribosomal RNA (457 nucleotides) under uncultured bacterium. RNAcentral's name for it is "bacterial SSU rRNA". It matches the Rfam family "Bacterial small subunit ribosomal RNA", at positions 340 to 784 of the family's 1533-position model. The record is from RNAcentral.
UACGGGAGGCAGCAGUGGGGAAUAUUGCACAAUGGGCGCAAGCCUGAUGCAGCCAUGCCGCGUGUAUGAAGAAGGCCUUCGGGUUGUAAAGUACUUUCAGUCGUGAAGGAAGGUGUUAAGGUUAAUAACCUUAGCAAUUGACGUUAGCGACAGAAGAAGCACCGGCUAACUCCGUGCCAGCAGCCGCGGUAAUACGGAGGGUGCGAGCGUUAAUCGGAAUUACUGGGCGUAAAGGGCACGCAGGCGGUUAAUUAAGUUGGAUGUGAAAUCCCCGGGCUUAACCUGGGAAUGGCAUUCAAGACUGGUUAGCUAGAGUCUUGUAGAGGGGGUAGAAUUCCAUGUGUAGCGGUGAAAUGCGUAGAGAUGUGGAGGAAAUACCGGUGGGCGAAGGGCGGCCCCUGGGACAAAGACUGACGCUCAUGUGCGAAAGCGGUGGGGAGCAAACAGGGAUUAGAUA